Microcebus murinus (gray mouse lemur) is the source of this 2493-nucleotide long non-coding RNA. RefSeq lists it as uncharacterized. The record is from RefSeq and is a predicted model, not a curated record. NCBI's taxonomy places the organism in Eukaryota, Metazoa, Chordata, Mammalia, Primates, Cheirogaleidae.
CCCGGAUCCGCAUCUUGGUGUCCUUCCGGCUGCCCGUGCCUUUGCUCAGAUUCGACAUGGUGCUCGUCCCCUCCCCGGCGGCGGCUUCAGGGCAUGUGGACUAGGGAUGGGUACUUGAACAGAAGCCAGCAACCCGAAGGAAGAGUUUGUGCAGGAGUUAACUGCAGUGUUGGAAUGACUGUCCUGUAUGUUUAACAAGGUAUUCGGACUGGAUGUGCACACCCCAGCUCUCAGGACCUAGAGUGGAGAUGUUAAAUCUACAAAUACAUUUUCUGCUGGACUCAGGGCUUAUAAACGUUAAAACCUGUUUUUCAUUACCAUUAAAAUAAAAUGACAGCUCCCUUAAUGUAAUGCAAUUAUUUUGGUAAAUAUUGUUAAAUGGAAUGAUAGAAACCUAUCUUUAACCUGACAGAUCAUUUCUACCAUUACAGCGAGCAUUGUAGAUUUUUAAAGACAAAAUUACCGUCUGAUUCAGUUUGCUCUGUGUUUGGAAGGGUUUUUGUUUUUGUAUUUUGGGGGGAGAGUUACUCCUAGUCAAAACGUCUAGUUUGACUCAUCAGUUUUGCUUUUCAUUCAUUAUGAAUUGUACUUCCUGAUUUACCUACUUGCCCAAUUGUUGUUCGACUUGAGUUUCCAACUCUUCCGGGGAAGAUGUGAGUUUCAGUGUUUGUGAUCUUCCCAUUUUAAAUAAGCUGUUGUUGGGAUGGAUAUCUACAUUUAAAAACUGGGAUUUCAAUACUUUUUUGUAUCACACUUAAUAAGUAAACUGAAAUAUACUUAAUUAUUUGUUGACUAUAAGGUUGAAUUUGCCCUAAAUUAAUCCUGGUGACUAAGCUUAUGGGUGUUGUGCUUUCAGCCCUACUUGGUUGAAAUGCCCCAUUGGAAAUAUCAUAUUUUCUUGUUUUGUUUUUUGGUAUUUGCUAAUCAAAACAGGAGCUUAAGAAAGGAGAAUGAAUGUUGCUUGAGGCAAUGUCUGUGUAAAUCCUGAAGCUAAAAAUAGGUCAUCAAGAAAUGUGUUAAUAAGGUGAAUGAGACAGAUGAGACCUGCCAUCACAAAAUGAAUAGUCCUUUUUCACAUCUCAAAAUUUGCAAACCACCAACCCGAGUUUGAUUUGGCAACAACUUCCUAUAUACUUCAGUCCAGAGGUCAGAGAUUUUCCUUCAUAAGGAAGUAACAUCCUCAAAAUGUACACCUUUAGAAGGUAUGUAGUAAAACCUUCUAAAACAGCAGUAGACUAUUCUUCUGUGCCCAGCGGUAUUCCCUGACUUGCACAUAGUGAAUGAACUAUUAGCUUUUCUGCAAACUGCCACCUGAUCUAGCAGAGAAAACAGUGCUGGAAUAGGAACUCACUAGAUCUUACAUGCCUGCCUGUUGGUAUUCCUACUCAUGCUGACGGUGUCCUGACACAGGGAAACAGUGGCCCCAUUUCUAUUUAUUCGUAUGGAGCAUGUGCAGUCAGAGAGGUUGGACGGCUGGGUGGGCCAGCCCAUUUUCUAUAUCCGUGUCUGUAAAAGAGCAGUAUGAAGUAAGAGGAGCUGGUAAAUGGGAGUAAUGGCCUCUUACUGACUAUGGCUUUCUAAGUAUUUAGGAUACCAAGCCACUUUAAUCACCAUUUCAGACCUACUGAUUUGAUUGUGCAAGACACUGGUUAUUAAAACAGCUCACAGCCUACCAAAUCAAUUAUUAUAGAAAGACCUGCUCAGUGGUUUUGAAGAGACCAAAAAACUAUGUUAGGAGAAGAUGCAUGUUUUUUCAAACUGGAAGGUGAAGAUAUAUAGAUAUUAUCAGCAAUUUGAUUGGAAGGCCUAGAUCUACUUUCUUUCUCAUCCCCACCAGGCAAAUAAUAAGCCAUUAGACGUGGAGUUGUACGUAUUUAGAGUAGUAGCAUGCAUAUGUGCAUUAUAAGAAGACAUGUUAUUAGCAAAAUAAGAGUUCCCCAUUGAGAACAUAACCAUAGAUACUUAAAUAUAUGAAAGCUGUAGGCCUUUCCCAUGUACCUUUUCUACUUUGUCCUUACCAUUUUCCUUUUAUCACUGAGACAAGAAACAUAUAAGCAUGUGAGACAAGUUACAUCUUGAAGUAAAGAAAAAAUCUCCAGUGUCUGAUUAUAUCAUAAAAAACCAUCUCAAUUUUUCAUCACACUGUCAUACUGAAUAAAAUCAUCUCACUGGCAGCUCUGGAAACUUUCUAGGUGGCUUGAAUAGUGUUCUGUUUACUCUAUAUUUACCAAAUAAAUUAAUAUUUUAGAAAUAAAAAUAUCUAUGUAUACAACCAAUUUAACAGAAUAUAAAUUCUCAAUUAAAAAUUAUAGGUACUGCAUCCAUGUAAUUUUAUUUUGAAUAAAAAGAAUUUCCUCUUAUUGAUACCAUUACAACAGUAACUAUAUCAGGAAACCUCCAGGGGACAAUUAUGAGUAUGCAUUGCUUUUACUCACGACAAGUAAAGUAUAUGUUGAAAUUUAUAACUCAUGAGCUCUGUCUUUGUGAAGUAAG